Molecule: unclassified non-coding RNA, 362 nt
Filed under: Hevea brasiliensis (rubber tree)
Lineage: Eukaryota; Viridiplantae; Streptophyta; Magnoliopsida; Malpighiales; Euphorbiaceae
Source: RNAcentral
AGAAAUGUAGAAUCAAGCAGAAAACUAUAUCCCGUGUCCUUGAUUUUAUUGAAAGAAAGCACGAGAUAAGAAGCAAAAGAGCUAUCAGUAUAACAUUAGGAUUAGGUGAUUACAAUCUGUGAUAUGAUAUAGCCAACACCUGAUAUCCAGACAUGCAAAAACACAAAAUGAUUCUCAAAUAUGUAGUGAUUUCCAGGAACUUGAUUGUCAACAAAUUCCAAUGACACAGCAUUUAUAAUAGACUUAGAAAUAAUAUUUAUUGUUCAAAUACACAAUCCUGAAGAAGUUAAAGGGGUCUGUUGUACAUUUAAACCUGUGAACUCAAUCUGUGCAGCACAUAUUGCUUGCUGCUGGAAAAUUUU